This 497-nucleotide ribosomal RNA is filed under the name uncultured bacterium. RNAcentral's name for it is "partial 16S ribosomal RNA". It matches the Rfam family "Bacterial small subunit ribosomal RNA", at positions 28 to 507 of the family's 1533-position model. The record is from RNAcentral.
GAUGAACGCUGGUGGCGUGCCUAAUACAUGCAAGUCGAGCGAACAUAUUCGGAGCUUGCUCCUCUGACGUUAGCUGCGGACGGGUUAGUAACACGUGUAUAACCUACCUAUAUGACUGGGAUAACUUCGAUACACCGGAGCUAAUACCUGAUAAUAUAUUGAACCGCAUGGUUCAUUAGUGAAAGACGGUUUUGCUGUCACUUAUAGAUGGAUCCUCGCCGCAUUAGCUAGUUGGUAAGGUAACGGCUUACCAAGGCAACGAUGCGUAGCCGACCUGAGAGGGUGAUCGGCCACACGAGAAGAGAGACAGGGUCGAGACUCCGAAGGGAAGCAGCAGUAGAGAAUCUUCCGCAAUGGGCGAAAGCGUGACAGAGCAAAGCGGCGGAAGGGAUGAAGGACUACGGAUGGUAAAACGCUGUUAUUAGGGAAGAAGAAAUGUGUAAGUAACAAUGAAGGUAUUGACGGUACCUAAGCAGAAAGCCACGGCUAACUACGUG